ACGUAAUUUGUCUAACCAUCCUCCAUCUUUUUUUGGACGGCCAGUCAUCUGUCAAGCGUUCAGUCUUAUUCAUUCGAGGUGGAAACAGAAAAAAUAUCCGCUCAUAGGGUGUUUUAAACGCGAAAAAUUAUCACGGAGGCAUCCGGGUACUAGGGCCGCCGCGCCCGGUCGCGCACUCGGGACGGACGAAGGGGGAAUCGGUGCAGGCACAUACAACGACUACACGCCGCUGCUGCCCACUGCACUAAAUUAGGUGCCGAUUCACCCUCCGCUCGCAAAAAGCCCGACGAUGCAGAGAGCGGGCGCGAGGCACCCGGAUGCUAGCCCGUCCACCUCCGGCGCCAUGGAGGAGCACUAUGCUACGCUCAACGAGUACCUGCAGAUGGAAUACAAGUUCCAGCCGAGACUGUGUCUGCCUAAUGAGUCCGAGAACGGGGAAGUAACAACUGGGGCCCGCGACGGCGCGGCGCAUGUCAUGCGCUGCCUCAAGGUUUGGUACGACUUGCCGACCGAGGUGCUCAUAGACGCCGUCAGCCUCUUCGACAGGUUCCUAACCAAGAUGAAGGUGCGUCCGUGCCACGUGCCGUGCAUCACGGUCGCCUGCAUGAACAUCGCCAUCGACCAGCACGCCGCUCACACUAAAGAGCCCCGCAAGGUGUCCGUCGAGGAGUUGGUGUCUAUCUCCCAGUCUGCGUGCACGGCGGGCGACGUGGCGCGCAUGUCGCGCGUGGUGGUGGACAAGCUGGCGCUCGCGCCCGGCACGCAAGCUGUCACGGCCUGGAAUUGGCUGAAACUAUUCGCUCGUUUGCUGCAACCGCACUGUCCCACCCCGCCCGAGGAAGCGGAGCUGCUGAAGCUGUUGGAGAUCGUUGUGUGCGACGCGGCCUGCGCCAACGCGCGCACCAGCGAGCUGGCCCUGGUGCUGCUGUAUCACCACAUCGAGCAGCAACUAGUGGAGAUGGCCCGGAGCGCACCGCUGCCCGACCACGCCUACCAGCUGUUCGAGAUUGGCGCCCAGCUGCAACACUACUGCAACAUGUGCGACGCGUCGCUGGUGAGCGCGCGAGGCCGCGUCCAACACGUCCUGGCGCGCUACGAGGCGCGCGCGGCCGCGCCGCAGCGCCAGCGCCUCGUGUGGCGCCUCUCCGAGCGCACGCUCAAGGUGCUGCGGCCCACGGACCGGCUGGGCUCGCUGCUGCCCACCAUCGAGGAACAACAUUACGCUGUGGAAGCCACGCCCAACAGGAACAGAUCCGGCAGCGAGAGCAGCGAGAACGAGGAGACCUCCGACUGGCCGCGCAGCCCCGUGCUGCCCGUCUACUGCGACCACUGAACACUGCACACGGCACACGGCGCACUGCACCCGCCACGCGGGGCCUCGCCCACACCGACACACAUGUAACAAUACCGACACGCCAUCCGACUACGGUUUCAAUAAACAGUACUCUCUAAAUGUGACGUUUUCAACCAAAAGGUACCACAUUGUCGCUUGUUAAUAAGGUGGAUUUCUGAUUGAAGCUAUAUGGAAAUAGCGCCUUACUGACAAGCGACAAUAAGUACCCUUUCGGUUGAAAAUGGCACAAAUAGAGUGCUAAAGUUACUAAGUUAACAGGUCACAUGGCGACCCCGCCGAUCCAUAAUGCAUGGAUUAAAUGGGGUACUUGGCGAUAUCACGCCUGUCCCCGAGCAUUUUGUGAAGACGAUGUUGUUACAUUUUUAUUAUACAUGUUUUUAAUGAUCUGAUGUUGAUGCGAGGCCCCUUGUAAUCUUAAAAUGUGACGUUUUCAACCAAAAGGUACCACAUUGUCGCUUGUCGAUAAGGUUGAUUUCGAAUAGCUAUAUAGAAAUAGCGCCUUAUUGACAACCGACAUUAAGUACCCUUUUGAUUGAGAAUGGCACAAAUAUGGCCGGCCGUGUCCUAAGUGGUCGUGUACCUGGGGGCUGCACUCUUUUAAAGCUUUCUCGAUCUUCCAUCGAUUACCUAUACGACCAGAUUGGUGAAUGACGUGUUGGUUUCCUAAAUGUGUAAAAUUAUAUUUAUUUUGAUAAUACGAUCAAAACAGUGCAGUCCCUAGUCCCUCUAUGUAGUUAUGUUUCUUGUAUUAGGCAGCUUGAAUGUCAACUGGUAGAGAGUAUGUGAUCCCAAUUUUGAAAAAUAGUCAAAACUCCGUGAUCCUGAAAGAUGUGUGUUAUGAGUAUUGAAAGUAAAUUGUGGUCUUACGAUAUUUCACUGUGUAGGCUUAUUUUUCUUUUAAUAGUAUUAAAAACGAAUGUAGUAUCAGCAUUCUGAUUUAAUGAACUAAUUAGGAAGGUUUCGAGCCGAGCGCAGUGAGGUGUCGCAAUCGCAACAGACGGCAGUAUAGUUUAGUUUAACGGUUAAGACAUGGUCGAGUGUCAGUUCAAGCGUGUUUUAACGUUUUAUAAACGAGAAUAGAUAAUUUUUCUACAAAUUUACAGUUUUAAGAUAAAAUAGUGCAAUUCAAGUCGAAAUUUGUCUUGACAUUUUUGGAGUAUUAUAGAAUUUCGUUUAUUGCAUGCGUCCCGGGCGUCGCUUAUUCCAGAGACGAACUCAUACGAGCGCAAAAAUAUACUUAAAUAUUUAGAUCUAAGUUAAACUUUCUUUUCUUAUUUUUUUUCCUUGAUUGCGCUUGUAUGGGCGAGUCGUUAUUGUAAACUAAUAUCAGUCUUUUUAAGCUUUAUUAAAUUUUAUUAUAAUGAAUAGUUUUUAUUUCGAGUAAGCGGCGACCGUGUUGCCCAUAGCUUUCUACUGUGAUGUUUUUUAUAAGAAAAUGUUGAACGAAAAUUCCAUAUUGCGUAGUUGUUAAGGAUACCCAUGCGAGAACAGCGUGAACGAAGUAACGAUAUCCACCGAAAUGAAGUGUACAUGAGCAGUAAAUUAUUUACUAUUAUAUAAUAAUUAAUAUAUUUUUCUUUAAAUACCACUGACUAACUCUCAAGUGAAGAGUUUCUAAAUUUCAUAACAUUUAAUCUAAAACGUUGGCAUUAUUAUUUUCAUUUAUAUACGUUAUGUUAUAGCUUAAUAAUAAUUCUUAUAAAAUAUUUCGAUUAUUUCAUAAUUAUGUCUAGCUAUAAACAAAUAAAUGACAAAAAAAUUACAAAUCUUUGAAAAAAUAAAAAAAAUGAUCUCAGGUAAUGUUUGCAAUCUGUCGCGAAGAAGAUAAUAAUAAUAAAAAAAAACAAAUGUGAAAGCGUGAGCGGCGUGUUUAUGGUUUGCAUUUUUCCGCUUAAAGCUUAAAGACGCACGCCGCUUGCGCUUAAAAAAAUCUUUCGUAAGCCUAGCCUUAAACAGAGUCAUGUAUCGUGUGUAGCGAGUGAGGUGAAAAUGUGUCUUAAAAAAUGUAAAAAAAAUGUCCAAAAAAUCUUAGUAGCUAGUAAAACUGUGAUUAAUUCUUAUCAAUAAUGUUUAACUUUUUGAGCAUUUUUACUCGUGCAAAAAGGCAAGAAAUAAAUAUUAAUAAGAAUUAAUAACAGACUAAUGUCUUCUUUCUAAUAAUAAUUUGUAAACACGUGACAUUGCAAUACGUUUUUCUUUAAAACAUUGUUUUUACAAAUUAUUCUCUUCUAUCAUUCUUCUGAAUAUGAUUAGCUUAAGUGUAAUUGGCAUUUUGUGUGACUGUGGAUGCAUUGGUCGGGACCUGUGUAUGCUUGAGUGUUUUGUGGUACAAUCAUGAAACGGAAAAUAUCUGAAAUCUCGAAUCAAUGAGAGAAUAAAAGUUGAGACUCUU
Molecule: RNA transcript, 3746 nt
Organism: Cydia strobilella
Lineage: Eukaryota; Metazoa; Arthropoda; Insecta; Lepidoptera; Tortricidae
Gene: CycG
Gene name: cyclin G
Exons: 11
Source: RefSeq, a predicted model, not a curated record